CGCGCCUCCUUUCCUUCGGUCUUUCCUUUCUUUUUGUUGCCGCUCCAAGUCACUUUCUGGCUACAGGUAAGAAGAGAAGCACCAUCGUGGAAGAGAUUAUCAACAGAAAUCAGAAUGCGUGUACAAAUGGCAGCCAUGCAAAAGGGUAAGAUUCAUCGUUUCAAGGCUUCUGCAAUGCAACACAGAUGUAUCACAGAUUCCAGUUUUAAAUGUUUAGGAGCGUUACAAACAAACUUUGUUGUAAUUAGAUGAGAAAAAAAAUCUGUAUUUUAUAUAAUCAUACACU
Long non-coding RNA from Vigna unguiculata (cowpea), 286 nucleotides. Lineage: Eukaryota; Viridiplantae; Streptophyta; Magnoliopsida; Fabales; Fabaceae. The record is from RefSeq and is a predicted model, not a curated record.